CUGGCGGCGUGCCUAACACAUGCAAGUCGCACGAGAAAGGGGCUUCGGCCCUGAGUAAAGUGGCGCACGGGUGAGUAACACGUGAAUGAUCUACCUCCGAGUGGGGAAUAACCUAGAGAAAUCUGGGCUAAUACCGCAUAACACUUACGAGUCAAAGCAGCAAUGCGCUUGGAGAGGAGUUCGCGGCAGAUUAGUUAGUUGGCGGGGUAAUGGCCCACCAAGACGAUGAUCUGUAUCCGGCCUGAGAGGGCGCACGGACACACUGGAACUGAAACACGGUCCAGACUCCUACGGGAGGCAGCAGUGGGGAAUUUUGCGCAAUGGGGGAAACCCUGACGCAGCAACGCCGCGUGGAGGAUGAAAUCCCUUGGGAUGUAAACUCCUUUCGAUCGGGAAGAUAAUGACGGUACCGAGAGAAGAAGCCCCGGCUAACUUCGUGCCAGCAGCCGCGGUAAUACGAGGGGGGCAAGCGUUGCUCGGAAUUAUUGGGCGUAAAGGGUGCGUANGCGGUUUGAUAAGUCUUGUGUGAAAUCUAUGGGCUCAACCCAUAGUCUGCACAGGAAACUGUCGGGCUUGAGUAUGGGAGAGGUGAGUGGAAUUUCCGGUGUANCGGUGAAAU
Molecule: ribosomal RNA, 619 nt
Filed under: uncultured bacterium
Lineage: Bacteria
Description: bacterial SSU rRNA
Rfam family: Bacterial small subunit ribosomal RNA
Source: RNAcentral